AUUAAAGUAACAAAGGGCACACAAGGGAUGCCUAGGUAGAAAGAGCCGAAGAAGGACGUGGUAAGCUGCGAUAAGCUUGGCGAAGUUGCAAACGAACGUGGAUGCCAAGAUUUCCGAAUGGAGCAAUCUGUAAAGAGUCAUGUCUUUACACGAAAGAGGGAACCGGGUGAACUGAAACAUCUAAGUAAUCCGAGGAAAAGAAAGUAACAACGAUACCCUAAGUAGCGGCGAGCGAACGGGGUAGAGCCUAAACCAUAUUCAUGUCAAGGAUGCAGCCGUUGUGGAUAUGGGGUAGCGGGAAAGAGAGAGAAAGAACUGCAAGCUAUUUCGCAGACGUAAGCAAAGGAACAAGAAAGAUCUGGAAAGGUCUACCGUAGAAGGUGAAAGUCCUGUAUUGGUAGUUUUCUUGCGCUGUAUCUCUUCUCCCAAGUAAUGUGGAACACGAGGAAUUCUGCAUGAAUCUGCGAGGACCAAAUCUCGUAAGGCUAAAUACUCUUUCUAACCGAUAGCGCAUAGUACCGUGAGGGAAAGGUGAAAAGAACCCCGGGAGGGGAGUGAAAGAGAACCUGAAAUUGUGUGCUUACAAGCGGUCAGAGCCACUUUGGUGGUGAUGGCGUGCCUUUUGGAGAAUGAUCCUGCGAGUUACGUUUCAUGGCGAGGUUAAGAAGAACGGAGCCGAAGGGAAACCGAGUCUGAAUAGGGCGCAAGAGUCGUGGAGCGUAGACGCGAAACCCGGUGAUCUAAGCCUGUCCAGGAUGAAGCUGUGGUAAGACACAGUGGAGGUCCUAACCCACCGCCGUUGAAAAGUUGGGGGAUGAGGUAGGUUUAGGGGUGAAAAGCCAAUCGAACCGGGAGAUAGCUCGUUCUCUCCGAAAUGCAUCUAGGUGCAGCCUUGCGUGUUUAAUGAUGGGGGUAGAGCACUGACUGAACUAGGGGGCAUAUAGCUUACUGAAUUCAAUCAAACUCCGAAUACCAUUAUUC
This 981-nucleotide ribosomal RNA is filed under the name Fusobacterium necrophorum. Its description in RNAcentral is "partial 23S ribosomal RNA". It matches the Rfam family "Bacterial large subunit ribosomal RNA", at positions 1 to 971 of the family's 2925-position model. The record is from RNAcentral. Lineage: Bacteria; Fusobacteriati; Fusobacteriota; Fusobacteriia; Fusobacteriales; Fusobacteriaceae.